This 440-nucleotide ribosomal RNA is filed under the name Ecdyonurus dispar. RNAcentral's name for it is "eukaryotic LSU rRNA". It matches the Rfam family "Eukaryotic large subunit ribosomal RNA", at positions 1184 to 1596 of the family's 3401-position model. The record is from RNAcentral. Lineage: Eukaryota; Metazoa; Arthropoda; Insecta; Ephemeroptera; Heptageniidae.
GGCGCCCGAAUAAACGCUCAUGUGAAACCAUGAAAGGUGUUGGUUGCUUAAGACAGCAGGACGGUGGCCAUGGAAGUCGGAAUCCGCUAAGGAGUGUGUAACAACUCACCUGCCGAAGCAACUAGCCCUGAAAAUGGAUGGCGCUGAAGCGUUUUGCCUAUACCCGGCCGCCGGUGGCAGAAGGCGGGUGUCUUCGGGCACUCGCUGCGAAGCCCCGGUGAGUAGGAGGGUCGCGACGGUGAGCGCAGAAGGGUCUGGGCGUGAGCCUGCCUGGAGCCGCCGUCGGUGCAGAUCUUGGUGGUAGUAGCAAAUACUCCAGCGAGGCCCUGGAGGACCGAUGUGGAGAAGGGUUCCGUGUGAACAGCCGUUGCACACGGGUCAGUCGAUCCUAAGCCCUAGGAGAAAUCCGAUGUUGAUGGUCGCGGGAUGUCGUAAACGUA